RNAcentral lists this microRNA precursor (199 nucleotides) under Dichanthelium oligosanthes. Its description in RNAcentral is "MIR1435 microRNA precursor family". It matches the Rfam family "MIR1435 microRNA precursor family". The record is from Rfam by way of RNAcentral. Lineage: Eukaryota; Viridiplantae; Streptophyta; Magnoliopsida; Poales; Poaceae.
UAGUUUUGUCUGAAGUCAAACUUUCUUAAGUUUGACCAAUUUAUAUAAAAGAUUAUCAAUUUUUAUAAUACUAAAUAGACAUAUUAUAAAAAUAUAUUUUAUUAUGGAUCUAAUGAUACUUAUUUGGUUUCAUAAAAAAUUAGUAAUUUUUGUAUAAAUUUGAUCAAACUUAAGAAAGUUUGACUUCAGACAAAACCAA